CAGCAGGCAGGAGCAUCUGGAAGACUCUGAUCCUUCCCCCCCCCACUCCCCGCCCCGCUGCACUCACUCAUCAACCAGCAAACAUGGAUGCUGUCAAAGCUUCCGGCCAGCCUCCUGCAGACAACCACACCCAAAUGAGAAAGGCCAACACAGGAGCUUCUCUGCUGAGCCACCCUCUCCUGCCCCGUUCCCUUCCACCACACGAGCCCUGUCCACUCUGGGCCUGAGGGUUCCCUUCGAAGAAGCCCUGCAUGGGAGAUCCCCGGGGUCCUCUCUCAAAAGGCCCCCUGCCUCUCCUGCCCAGGAGCAGAAGCCAAGAACUGUGAGCUGAUGGGAGCUCAGGAGAUUGCCUUGUCCUUCCCCCUGGGAGGCCUGGCCGUGUGCCUUGCUUUCACCGACAGAAUGAGGUGCAGGAGGACGAGCCCAGGCUAGCCUACUGGAAGGAGGCAGAUGCUUGCAGAGAAACCAAAGUCUCCCAGCCACCCCGGGCCAACACUGAGCUGGAUCGGUGCACAGCUGACCCCUAGACCUAGGAGCAAACACAGCCAAGCCCGGGAGAGUCAGCCAGCCAGCCCUGUUCAAACCGCCCACUGGCAAAGUCAUCAGCUCAAAUAAAAGCCACUGCGCAUGGGGGCGGCUUGUUACACAGCACUUCUGUGGCGGAAGAGCCUGCCACGGGAAACCUGCAGACCCCUGGGCAAAUCCAAGCCCAGCUGCUUGGAUGCGAAGCCCAUCCCCAGCAUUUGUCAGCGGAGUUGACUUCAGAUUCAUCUGUAAAAUGGGAUGGUGGUGACUCGAACCCAACAGAACUGUCUCACCCACCAUUCAGGAGCCGAACAUUUAUGGCGUUCCUACAGCUCCGUGUGAGGAGCAGGAGACAACGCCCUCACGGAACUGACAUGCAGGUGGGGCAGAUGCUUCAAAACCGAGGAGAUCUCGGACAGAUUGUCAGGUGGAAAGAAUAGCAGGGGAGAACAACCCAGCAGAGUGAAGGGAUGGAGGAUGGGGGGUGAGGGAGAAGAGAGGAUGCUUUUGAUCAGGUGGUCAGAGAAGUCCACUGGGAGGAGGUGACCAGCAGACGCAGGAAGAAGAGGGAGAGGGAGCUCGGCACAGCUGGAGAGGGCACAGCCAGCGCAAAGGCCCGGACGCAGGCAUGCAGUCGGCGUGCAUGAAGAAUGGAGGGAAGGAGGUAGGGAGCAGGGUGGCAGGAGGUGGCGUCCGAGCGGCGGGCAGCGAUGGAAUCACAAGAAACAAGGAGAGCGCCGUGUUAUCGCUGUGACAAUUAAAUGUGCUAAUAUGUGGACAAAGCUCAGGACAGUGCCCGGGUCAUGGUGAGUGGCCGGGAAGUGUCGGCCUUUGCUUUACUGUUGGCACUUUUAUCCACAAAAUGCAGUGUCCCCUUGUUCGGGGGUCCUAAGAGGAAAAUCCUCAUGGGAUGAUUACUGCUUCCUGGAACUAAGGAGAAAGAGGCUCACAGUGGGGGAUCUUGACAAGGGAAACUCACUUUUGAUUCUACCUGAGUUGGUAUUCUUUGAAUUCCUCCAGCAAGACUGAGUCUGUGUACUAUUUAUGAUAUUUAAAAAAAAUAACACCAAACAACCCAGAUGCCCAUCACCAGAUGACUCGAUAAGCCAGGCAUAGUAUCUCUAUACAGCAGAAUAUUAUACAGUCAUGAAAAAGGAACGCAGUACUGAUCCGUGCCAUGCUGUGGAUGAAAACGUGGUGCCAAGUGAAAGAAACCAGACACAAAAGGUCACAUGCUGCUCGAUCCCAUCUUCAUGGAAUGCCCAGAACAGAUGACCCACACACAGAUAGAAAGCAGACUGGUGGUUACCAGGC
Ailuropoda melanoleuca (giant panda) is the source of this 1839-nucleotide long non-coding RNA. RefSeq lists it as uncharacterized. Lineage: Eukaryota; Metazoa; Chordata; Mammalia; Carnivora; Ursidae. The record is from RefSeq and is a predicted model, not a curated record. The transcript has 3 exons.